Molecule: ribosomal RNA, 598 nt
Filed under: uncultured bacterium
Lineage: Bacteria
Description: bacterial SSU rRNA
Rfam family: Bacterial small subunit ribosomal RNA
Source: RNAcentral
UGCAAGUCGAGCGAACCUCUUCGGAGGUUAGCGGCGGACGGGUGAGUAACACGUGGGUAACCUGCCUGUAAGACUGGGAUAACUUCGGGAAACCGAAGCUAAUACCGGAUAAGUUUUCAAACCGCAUGGUUUGAAAUGGAAAGAUGGUUUCGGCUAUCACUUACAGAUGGACCCGCGUCGCAUUAGCUAGUUGGUGAGGUAACGGCUCACCAAGGCGACGAUGCGUAGCCGACCUGAGAGGGUGAUCGGCCACACUGGGACUGAGACACGGCCCAGACUCCUACGGGAGGCAGCAGUAGGGAAUCUUCGGCAAUGGGCGAAAGCCUGACCGAGCAACGCCGCGUGAGUGAUGAAGGCCUUCGGGUCGUAAAACUCUGUUGUCAGGGAAGAACAAGUACGAGAGUAACUGCUCGUACCUUGACGGUACCUGAUUAGAAAGCCACGGCUAACUACGUGCCAGCAGCCGCGGUAAUACGUAGGUGGCGAGCGUUAUCCGGAAUUAUUGGGCGUAAAGCGCGCGCAGGCGGUCUUUUAAGUCUGAUGUGAAAGCCCACGGCUCAACCGUGGAGGGUCAUUGGAAACUGGGAGACUUGAGUGC